RNAcentral lists this unclassified non-coding RNA (515 nucleotides) under Hevea brasiliensis (rubber tree). The record is from RNAcentral. Lineage: Eukaryota; Viridiplantae; Streptophyta; Magnoliopsida; Malpighiales; Euphorbiaceae.
GUUCCAUCACAGAAAUCUCGUCAAGUUAAUCGGAUGGUGUUACGAAAAGCGUGAAUUCCUCCUCGUCUACGAGUACUUGCCUAAUGGAAGCCUGGACAAAUUCAUAUUCUGUGAGAAGUCCAGCAUGGAGGAAUCUACCAUAAGCUGGGAAACAAGGCUCAGUGUGGUAACUGGGACAGCGCAGGCUUUGGAAUAUCUGCACAACGGCUGCGAGGAGACGAUACUUCACCGAGACAUCAAGUCCAGCAACAUAAUGUUAGAUUCUGAGUUCAACGCCAAGCUGGGAGAUUUUGGACUUGCUCGUUCCAUUAAACUCGGUGAUCAAACUCACCACUCGACAAAAGAGCUUGCAGGAACACCUGGGUACAUGGCUCCAGAGAGUAUUCUCACCGGAAGGUUUACAAGGGAGACGGAUGUUUAUGCCUUUGGUAUACUCAUCCUGGAAGUUGCUUGUGGAAGGAAGCCUGGAAGUCAAAGCCAGCAGGAUGACUACAACAGUAACAUCGUGCAUUGGG